CAAGGAUUCCCCUAGUAACGGCGAGUGAAGCGGGAAGAGCUCAAAUUUGAAAUCUGGCUKGUCUUCGGCCGUCCGAGUUGUAGUUUCGAGAAGCGUUUUCCGCGUCGGACCGUGUACAAGUCCCUUGGAACAGGGCGUCGUAGAGGGUGAGAAUCCCGUCUUUGACACGGACUGCCGGUGCUCUGUGAUGCGCUCUCAAAGAGUCGAGUUGUUUGGGAAUGCAGCUCAAAAUGGGUGGUAAAUUCCAUCUAAAGCUAAAUAUUGGCGAAAGACCGAUAGCGAACAAGUACCGUGAGGGAAAGAUGAAAAGCACUUUGGAAAGAGAGUUAAACAGUACGUGAAAUUGUUGAAAGGGAAACGCUUGAAGUCAGUCGCGUCUCUCGGGACUCAGCCUUGCUCUUCUGCUUGGUGCACUUCCCGAGGCGACGGGCCAGCAUCGAUUUCGACCGUCGGAGAAAGGCUUUGGGAACGUGGCACCUCCGGGUGUGUUAUAGCCCAUGGUCGUAUGCGACGGCUGGGAUCGAGGUUCGCAGCACGCCUUCAUUGGCCGGGGUUCGCCCACGUAACGUGCUUAGGAUGCUGGCGUAAUGGCUUUAAACGACCCGUCUUGAAUCACGGACCAAGGAGUUUAACAUGCCUGCGAGUGUUUGGUUUGGAAAACCCGGACGCGUAAUGAAAUUGAAAGGUUGGGACCUCUGUCGUGG
RNAcentral lists this ribosomal RNA (704 nucleotides) under Ramaria rubella. RNAcentral describes it as "eukaryotic LSU rRNA". It matches the Rfam family "Eukaryotic large subunit ribosomal RNA", at positions 69 to 753 of the family's 3401-position model. The record is from RNAcentral. Lineage: Eukaryota; Fungi; Basidiomycota; Agaricomycetes; Gomphales; Gomphaceae.